This 476-nucleotide unclassified non-coding RNA is filed under the name Allium shevockii. RNAcentral's name for it is "partial external transcribed spacer". Lineage: Eukaryota; Viridiplantae; Streptophyta; Magnoliopsida; Asparagales; Amaryllidaceae. The record is from RNAcentral.
ACCCAACACUGGCACUGCCGUACACUCACCAACAACUACACACACGAUGCAGUCCGGGGGGCGAAACAACGCCGGCUGACUGCUCAUGGUGCAGAAAAAGCGCGGAUGCGCAGCCUAAAGCGAUCCAAAGCACAACGGAAGCACUCUUUGCCUGGGCCAAGCCUUACAUUGCAAGCUACUACAACAAGCAUGGCGGGGAGGAGAAUUGAGGCUCUCAAACCCCCCAUGUCACAGCCUUCGGAACCAUAAAACUAGCGAGGCAACACAACGGUUAGUAAAAAUAGCAACCCGCGAGGCUAUCAAAAUGCCCACAACACGUACGAUUUCUAAGAACCCCUUCGGAAGGGAAACACUGAAAUUAAGCACCGAACCAAAACGGUCGUGGUAKACUUUUCCGGACGUGCCAAGCACCGCGUAGAAAUCCUGCCUACGCCAUGCAGCAACACAUCCACGGACUCUCCUGCACGAUGGACCAC